RNAcentral lists this ribosomal RNA (449 nucleotides) under uncultured bacterium. RNAcentral's name for it is "bacterial SSU rRNA". It matches the Rfam family "Bacterial small subunit ribosomal RNA", at positions 354 to 796 of the family's 1533-position model. The record is from RNAcentral.
GUGGGGAAUAUUGGACAAUGGGCGAAAGCCUGAUCCAGCAAUGCCGCGUGUGUGAUGAAGGCCUGCGGGUUGUAAAGCACUUUCGUUGGGGAAGAAAUGCUCAAGGUUAAUACCCUUGAGAGUUGACGUUACCCAAAGAAGAAGCACCGGCUAACUCUGUGCCAGCAGCCGCGGUAAUACAGAGGGUGCAAGCGUUAAUCGGAGUUAUUGGGCGUAAAGGGCGCGUAGGUGGGUAUUUAAGUCGGAUGUGAAAUCCCUGGGCUUAACCUAGGAAUUGCAUUCGAUACUGGAUACCUUGAGUAUGGUAGAGGAAAGUGGAAUUCCCGGUGUAGCGGUGAAAUGCGUAGAUAUCGGGAGGAACAUCAGGGCGAAGGCGGCUUUCUGGACCAAUACUGACACUGAGGCGCGAGAGCGUGGGGAGCAAACAGGAUUAGAAACCCGGGUAGUCC